RNAcentral lists this long non-coding RNA (199 nucleotides) under Elaeis guineensis (African oil palm). RNAcentral describes it as "long non-coding RNA (EGUI_LNC024894)". Lineage: Eukaryota; Viridiplantae; Streptophyta; Magnoliopsida; Arecales; Arecaceae. The record is from RNAcentral.
UUUAUCUGCCUGGUUUGCUAAUGGCUUUUGAUUUCUAAGAUGGCAAGGAUGGCCUGCAAUGGCGAGUGUCAAGCCACUUGACGAGUAUAUUAUUCUCACAGCCAAACUGAUCGUGGCAUGGGAGGGCUUGUCUUGUGCACAAAUGGUGAUGGGUGUUCGCCAUGAAUUGAUUCAAGAGACUUACUAUGAAUAUUGGGGA